GGGAAGAGAUUCUGCCUGACUGACUUUUCUUAGGGCAUCUACUUCGGAAAACUGGUCAGCUCCUCCUCUCUUUGAAAUGUAGAUGAAUCUUUCUAAAAAAGCUUAGUAAGCUUCAUACCACCUUUGUGACCCACGAGGUUCCUUCUCAAUAAUCUGGGAACCAUUUUUUUUUUUAAAGUAAUCUCUGCAACCAGUGUGAGUGGGGCUUGAACUCAAGACCCCAAGAUCAAGGGUUGCAUGCUCUACCGACUGUGGUAGCUAUCUCUGAAAUGGAACCAUUCUGGAAGACAGCACCCAUCGCCCAGUUUCGAUGGGAAGGCAGAAGCCUCACUUCCACAACCAGCCUCGCACAGAUGCCUUGCUCCCAAACUACCUCCUGCCAUUUGAUUGCCCUAUGGAUAAAGCCAAUAAGUUAGCACAGAUGGUCACCCCAACUGCUAAACGAAUGCAGGAUGACCUGAGCGUGACAGAUGAAGCGGCCACGUCUGCUCUCUGGGAGAUAGUUACUGCGUAUCAAUGGACUGUAUCUGCUUGGCUAAACAAAAAGGUGGUGGCCUAG
This 559-nucleotide long non-coding RNA is filed under the name Mustela putorius furo (domestic ferret). RNAcentral describes it as "lncRNA (ENSMPUG00000029668.1)". The record is from RNAcentral. Lineage: Eukaryota; Metazoa; Chordata; Mammalia; Carnivora; Mustelidae.